AGCUUCGGCUCACUAUCGGAUCGUUUUAGAAACAUCAGUGGCCAACAAUCGUCAGGAUUGUUGAGCUGCAUUGGCGGGAUUUCGCCGUCUUCGUUUCUCUUUCUUCGCGGACGAACACGCGCUGGGGCUGCAAGUUUGCAGAGUCCCUGGUCCUUGACUGGAUAUGCGUUAGGGGCUUGUAGCUCAGUUGGUUAGAGCGCGCGCUUGAUAAGCGUGAGGUCGGAAGUUCAAGUCUUCCCAGGCCCACCACUUUCAUCGAGUGAGCAUUCGUCUUCUGGUUACGGGGCCAUAGCUCAGCUGGGAGAGCGCGUGCUUUGCAAGCAUGAGGUCGUCGGUUCGAUCCCGUCUGGCUCCACCAGAUGGUUUGAUCAUCGACUGAUCGUGCACCUAAAUCGUCCGCGAAACAUCACUUCGCAUCUUGCUAGUCUGGAUAGACAGCAAGUUGCGUGAUUUCUGACAUCGUAAAGAGGAGAUCGAUCCGAGUUGGAUCGUGCAGCAAGCAAUUGCUACGCGAGACUUCAUUAUCUCCGGAUCAUUUCGGCGCUCGUGCGUCUUUCAAGGGCAGCUCACAAGGCUGCUUCUGGAGAGACAAGCGAGUUGUAAAUGAUCCUUUUAGCGAAGCUUGACCGCCUCGCUAUCGGAACGAUCUUACGAAGCAAGCUGGUCUUUCUAAUCAUUGUCCGGCUGCAGAUAGCGUUCAUCGAGGGCGCGUGCCGCAAGGCAGUUCUGCAGACAACAUUCUGCCGAGUGUGUGGACAUUGAUAAUGAGAGCAAUCAAGUGCCUUAAGGGUGUUCGGUGGAUGCCUUGGCGCUGAGAGGCGAUGAAGGACGUGCUACGCUGCGAUAAGCCGUGGGGAGCUGCGAAGA
Molecule: unclassified non-coding RNA, 867 nt
Filed under: Bradyrhizobium sp. TUTSBAW95-111
Lineage: Bacteria; Pseudomonadati; Pseudomonadota; Alphaproteobacteria; Hyphomicrobiales; Nitrobacteraceae
Description: partial contains 16S-23S ribosomal RNA intergenic spacer and 23S ribosomal RNA
Rfam family: tRNA (bases 173-246)
Source: RNAcentral